This is a small nuclear RNA of Zostera marina, 106 nucleotides long. Lineage: Eukaryota; Viridiplantae; Streptophyta; Magnoliopsida; Alismatales; Zosteraceae. The record is from Rfam.
UUUUCGUUUUCGGAAACAUCUGAUAAAAUUGGAACGAUACAAAGAAGAUUAGCAUGGCCCCUGUGCAAGGAUGACACGCACAAAUCGAGAAAUGGACCAAAUUUUU